This is a long non-coding RNA of Mobula hypostoma (lesser devil ray), 1609 nucleotides long. RefSeq lists it as uncharacterized. The transcript has 3 exons. Lineage: Eukaryota; Metazoa; Chordata; Chondrichthyes; Myliobatiformes; Myliobatidae. The record is from RefSeq and is a predicted model, not a curated record.
GCUGCGUGCGCUUUCUCGACCUCCAACAGCCAAGCCCGACUUUGAUCUGCGCCGCUCAACGACAUGAAGCGAGAUCAAUUACAGAGGAACAACAGUGACAAAGAAUUCGCUGCUUUACGUGCAGGCAGUUUCCCACGAUCGCCGACUCUGUAGGGCCGCCGAGGAAAUGUCAGCAAACAGGCUAUGCAGCAGGGAAAAGGAUUAUUUGGAGCCAUGGUAUGCCACACGCAUAGACACUGAAAGAAACAACCCGAGGGAUGGACGAAAGAAACUAUCGCCGACACCACACAGCGAUUUACACAAAGCACAAUGGGGCAUUCUAUAAACAUAAACCAAAAGUGAGGGAGGAGAAAACGUGGUCAAGAAAAUUGUCGCUCAGAGAGAAUUCGCGACUCUGGACUUAUUGUUUGCACUGUCAACCAACUUGUUUGUUCGUAAACAAACCCAUGUUAAACGCUCUCUCGCUUUGCGCAACACUUGAUUCAGUUUGCUGUGUAGUCUCUUCAUUGUUAUUCGGACAGUUUAAUUUAUAUUGAGUAGCAUUUUCUUGAUGAACGCAAUUCGUUUGAUUAAAUUGCUCUCCUAUCGCCUAUUGUGCAUCCAGCUUAUUCUUUAAUAGUCUGCAUCCUUUUUUAAAAAAUGUGAUUUCUCCGAGGCUUGGUACGAAAUCGACAGCAAUGUGGAAAAAAAUGUAAUUUUAAAUAUGCUAACUUCGCCGUAGAGUUUUACUGACGUGCGCUUUAUAUACUUUAACAUAAUUAAAUUAAGUAUGCAUAUUUACAAUUAGAGAAAAAUAUUGCAACUCUGCAGAAGUAUAUGUAUGUUAAAACCAUCAGGAACCAUAAUACGCCAUUAAUUCAAUGCGCCUCGCUUCCUUUGCAGAAAAAGGCUCCACGUGGUAUGUUUUUAAAAUCAUAAUGUAUUGCUACAAAGAAAUGUUUUCAGAGUCCCUGGAGAGAAGGCUGUGGACAAAAACCUUAGUAUGUCUAAUAAUGCUCUUGUUGUUUUGAGAGUUCCAGUUUCUUAAACAUCCAUUCGGAACUUUGUAGAAAGGAGGAAAAGGUCUCCAGCAGCGACAAUUUUUUUUAGGGGGAGUAAUUUGUGAAAUGUGAAAUUGGCUGGCGAAAUAACCUCAAAAUGAAUUGUUAACCCAUCAUAUCAUUUUUAAUUAGGUAUGCACCAAGAAAGAUUUGAGAGUUUUAUUUUGCUGCGUUCCUUUAAAAAAAACCCAGCACCUACAGCAAAGUACCUUUAUACCUAUCGUUUUGCCUUCACCAGCUUUUUGUACCGACGCACAUAUCAUCUUCUGCUUCAAAAACUGCCCUUUAUAAUUAGCCAUAGUGGUAGGGUCAGUUGCAUUUAAGGGAAUAUUUAUGUUAACUGAAUAGAAAUUGGGGAAGCUGGUUUUCUGCCUAAGCGUGUUUUUUUUUAAAGAAAAAGCCAAUUGAAUUCCUUUAUUUCAAACAAGGUAUGCAUUGUGAUCAUUCAGGAAUUUAGAAAAAUAAAAUAAUAGUAGCAUAAAUGUUUCCUGUUUUAUAAAUCUGUUGCUAUCAAGCAUGUAACAGAAUAAUUUCACUGGAGCAUGGAUUUAACGUGCAUUUCUGCUGUG